CCUACGGGCGGCAGCAGUGGGGAAUAUUGGACAAUGGGGGGAACCCUGAUCCAGCCAUGCCGCGUGUGUGAAGAAGGCCCUCGGGUUGUAAAGCACUUUCAGUGAGGAAGAACGCCUGGUGGUUAAUACCCAUCAGGAAAGACAUCACUCACAGAAGAAGCACCGACUAACUCCGUGCCAGCAGCCGCGGUAAUACGGAGGGUGCGAGCGUUAAUCGGAAUUACUGGGCGUAAAGCGCGCGUAGGUGGCUUGAUAAGCCGGUUGUGAAAGCCCCGGGCUCAACCUGGGAACGGCAUCCGGAACUGUCAAGCUAGAGUGCAGGAGAGGAAGGUAGAAUUCCCGGUGUAGCGGUGAAAUGCGUAGAGAUCGGGAGGAAUACCAGUGGCGAAGGCGGCCUUCUGGACUGACACUGACACUGAGGUGCGAAAGCGUGGGUAGCAAACAGGAUUAGAUACCCUUGUAGUC
This 465-nucleotide ribosomal RNA is filed under the name Vreelandella stevensii. Its description in RNAcentral is "partial 16S ribosomal RNA". It matches the Rfam family "Bacterial small subunit ribosomal RNA", at positions 338 to 795 of the family's 1533-position model. The record is from RNAcentral. Lineage: Bacteria; Pseudomonadati; Pseudomonadota; Gammaproteobacteria; Oceanospirillales; Halomonadaceae.